AUUAACCUGGCAUGGAGAUAUAGCUGAUAGUUUUUUGUUUUUUUUUUUGGUACCAGGGAUCGAACUCAGGUCCUUGAGCUUGCGAGGCAGGUGCUGGAACCACUGAGCUAAAUCCCCGGCCCCUAACUGAUAUUCUAUAGGAGGAAAUGGAAGUCAGGCAAAGUAUACAUUUUUUGACUCUUUCAGACAAGCCAGAGUUCUGAUUUCACAAAAGAUAAAUGGAGAGUGUCUGAAGGCAAAAGCAAGUGCCACAGUCCAGAAUUUGAGAAGAAUUCAAAUUGGUGUGGACUUUCUUGUACUCCUUUUCUCCUUCAGCUAUAUCUGGAGUUGGGGCUGGAAGAUCAAGGAAAACAAGGGGAAAUGGUUGCUGAGAUCUGUUGAGAGAGAUUCAUCCUCUGUGUAGACCUGGUAACAGUUCUGAUAUCAGAGAGAGGAACUCUUUCUCAGACCCAUUAAGGAGGCCCAGCUCCUAAGUUUCUGAGUGGCUUUUGCUUUAUUGAAAGAUUGAAAGAAUUUCUAAAGAACAAAAUUAAAAAGGAUGAAAAAUCUGGGUGACUGCUCCUACCCUUUCCUCCGAGUGCCUUGCACGGCCAUUGAGCUGACAUCCAGCUGCCAGCACCUGUGUUUCUUCGCAGAGAGGUCUCAGUCCCAUGGGUUUCACCCUGUCUCACUAACCAGGCUGGAGGUGCUGCGAUGAACACCUCCAGUGCUGGUCCCCCACCAGCACCCUACGGGAGGUGGCACAGGAGCACCCACCUCUCACUGUGCAGGUGGAAGAGCACAGAGGCACAUUUCCCUCCAAAAUAUCUGUGCUACUUUACUCAUUGUUAUAUACAUGUAAUUUAUUGUAAGGCAAACACUAUUAAUACAAAAAUGUAUGAAUGAAAUAGAAUUGAAUAAUUUAAAAGAUAUGUUAAUGCAGAGAGUAAAGAGCAGCACCAAAAUAAUUUUGUUUGAGUAGUGUUUCAAAUUACCAGGUAAUGCUAAAGGUGUUUCUUGGUCUUGGGAAAGAACUUCAACCCACUUUUAAUGCUUCAUAUGUACUAUCUAAAGUUUAAGUUGAAAAUUGUUAAGUAAAAUUUGUAUGAUUAAAACAUUAAUGGAUCAUAUAUAUAUUUUGUGUAUCAUGUGUAUAUGUAUUUUAUAAUUAUAUAGAUAUAUGUUAAAUCCUUUGUUAAUGUGUUGAAUCAGAAAAGAAUGUCCAGUACUGUACUACGGUUGGAAUUAAAAUAAGCUAAAGUUAUCUAUUACCUAGGCUUUUUUCUUACUGAAGGAUAACCAAGAGUAACAAAUGAUGAGUACAGUUCUCGAGCUUCUCUCACUGAUACAAAGUGCACACAUCUUAUUAUUUAAUUAAGGUGAGUACUUUUUCAUAAAUACAUUCUUCAUUAAAGGCAAUAUUUUAUUAACAUUAUAAUGCUUAUAGAGCAUCUUAAUCGGUUUAAAAAUAUUCCACACAAGUUGCUCAAUGCUCUAAUGAAUCAUAUUCAAGUUGCUUAAGCAUUUAGGCUUGUAAGACUUUGAUGUGUAAUCAUGGCACAUAUCUUGGAUAUUCUUCAGUGCACUGAAUUUUAUUGUAUUUAAAGCAUUUAGUUUAGUUUAUGAGGUAAUAUAUGAUAAACACCUCAUGAUUUGUAUGACUAAAAUUUUGGCUAAAUUGGUUUUAACAACUGUCUAAUACACAUCAUAAUAAGAAUCCAUGUGUUUCUAAUUUCAACCUGGCUCAGAGAGGAGAGAAGAGUAUCUUCUGAAAUAGUUUACAAUAGUGGAAAACUAAUAGUGAAAAUACAAUUUACAGUAGUGGCACCCAGAAAGCAAGGUAAAUAAUAAUUGGGCUUGGUGGAAGAUUAUUUCAUUCUUUGAAUUAUUACUGGAUUUUAGAUACAAAAUAAGAUGGCUAUUUAAAGGUUUUAAGUCUUUGAAUAGAAUAUUAUUUAGCUUCAUCUGUUUAAAACAAUUUGUCAGAUAA
Molecule: long non-coding RNA, 1969 nt
Filed under: Heterocephalus glaber (naked mole-rat)
Lineage: Eukaryota; Metazoa; Chordata; Mammalia; Rodentia; Bathyergidae
Description: lncRNA (ENSHGLG00100036328.1)
Source: RNAcentral